CCCUUAGAGUUUGAUCCUGGCUCAGGAUGAACGCUAGCUACAGGCUUAACACAUGCAAGUCGAGGGGCAGCAUUUCAGUUUGCUUGCAAACUGGAGAUGGCGACCGGCGCACGGGUGAGUAACACGUAUCCAACCUGCCGAUAACUCGGGGAUAGCCUUUCGAAAGAAAGAUUAAUACCCGAUGGUAUAAUCAGACCGCAUGGUCUUGUUAUUAAAGAAUUUCGGUUAUCGAUGGGGAUGCGUUCCAUUAGGCAGUUGGUGAGGUAACGGCUCACCAAACCUUCGAUGGAUAGGGGUUCUGAGAGGAAGGUCCCCCACAUUGGAACUGAGACACGGUCCAAACUCCUACGGGAGGCAGCAGUGAGGAAUAUUGGUCAAUGGGCGCAGGCCUGAACCAGCCAAGUAGCGUGAAGGAUGACUGCCCUAUGGGUUGUAAACUUCUUUUAUAUGGGAAUAAA
This 458-nucleotide ribosomal RNA is filed under the name uncultured bacterium. RNAcentral describes it as "bacterial SSU rRNA". It matches the Rfam family "Bacterial small subunit ribosomal RNA", at positions 1 to 450 of the family's 1533-position model. The record is from RNAcentral.